Acipenser ruthenus (sterlet) is the source of this 308-nucleotide long non-coding RNA. RefSeq lists it as uncharacterized. NCBI's taxonomy places the organism in Eukaryota, Metazoa, Chordata, Actinopteri, Acipenseriformes, Acipenseridae. The transcript has 3 exons. The record is from RefSeq and is a predicted model, not a curated record.
GAAAAUUAAUAUAGGCAUAUGAUAGCUUCAAGGAAAAUGACAUUUGCUGAGAUUUUACUCAACUUCUGGAAGGAUGCAAGUAAAAAAAACCCUCUUUGCUUUUAAACCCCCGGACUCUCUCCUCCAAAGCUGACUCCAGCAGCCCUGCAUGGAGCAAUCUAUUCUAUAUCUCAUUCGUUGGUUUGUCCUUUGCUGGAGGUAUAUUUUACACAAGAAGAGGGAUGCAUGAACUAACACCUUAGCUGCUGUGGACACUUAAGAAACUACAACUUCCUACCACUGAGCUCUGUGUAAUGUUUUAAUUGUCA